Dalotia coriaria is the source of this 690-nucleotide long non-coding RNA. RefSeq lists it as uncharacterized. NCBI's taxonomy places the organism in Eukaryota, Metazoa, Arthropoda, Insecta, Coleoptera, Staphylinidae. The record is from RefSeq and is a predicted model, not a curated record. The transcript has 2 exons.
UAGUUAUUGUCAUCUACGUAUCAUAUACAUUAAAAUAUUAUAUCAAGUCACAUUAGCAAUCAGCAUUAUCAUCAUCAGCAUUAGGCAAUUAUUCUAAGACAUAUUAAAUGUCCUGUUGGGACAAUAUUUCGGCGUGUGUGCUUCGGUGCCAGUAGCUCCGCAAUAACGGCAAACAACUUCAAACAAUGCUGGACAAGUGAUAUUGUUGGCAUCAUCUCUCAAUGCAUGACUGGUGUAGACAUUUUCCUUCUCUCGAUUGUGGAAGCAAAACGAACAAUAUUUGCCCUUGACAUCAUACGCUGCAAUAAGAAAACACAACAAUAAGUAUACAUGUUUACAAGAAAAUCUGUUUUAUUUUCUACUUACAUCUUGAACGUCCAAGUAUUGGCUUACUAUUAUUCUUGAAGAAUGUCUUCUUCUCAUCCAUCGAUGUCCACGAUAAACUGGAUAAAGGACGACUUUCCUCAUCAGAAGAUGAAGAGUAAACCUCAAGAUCUUGCCAAUAUGAGACAUUUUCACCUCUAGGUGAAGCUGACAUUGUAGACGACGAAGAUGAAUAAGUGAUGUCUCGAUUGACAACGAACUGAAUUGUUUGAUUGGCUUGUAAGGAUCGUAAGUACCAUCACUACCUUCAGGCACAAUCAACAUACGUUCAAAAUCUUUAAUAAAAACAGAAAAAGAAAACAAAAA